This 155-nucleotide microRNA precursor is filed under the name Procavia capensis (Cape rock hyrax). RNAcentral describes it as "miRNA (ENSPCAG00000019552.1)". The record is from RNAcentral. Lineage: Eukaryota; Metazoa; Chordata; Mammalia; Hyracoidea; Procaviidae.
AAUUCAGAUAAACCCGGUUAAAUAUGCCCUUCAGAUAAACAUUAACUAUUUUUAGAAUAAGUAUGUCCCAGCCCAUGCAAUAUUUAGGACAUACUUAUGCUAAAGAAUUAUUCUUUGUUUACUGAAAUGCAAAUUUAACUGGACACUUUGGUUUU